GAUGAACGCUGGCGGCGUGCCUAAUACAUGCAAGUCGAGCGAACAGACGAGGAGCUUGCUCCUCUGACGUUAGCGGCGGACGGGUGAGUAACACGUGGAUAACCUACCUAUAAGACUGGGAUAACUUCGGGAAACCGGAGCUAAUACCGGAUAAUAUAUUGAACCGCAUGGUUCAAUAGUGAAAGACGGUUUUGCUGUCACUUAUAGAUGGAUCCGCGCCGCAUUAGCUAGUUGGUAAGGUAACGGCUUACCAAGGCGACGAUGCGUAGCCGACCUGAGAGGGUGAUCGGCCACACUGGAACUGAGACACGGUCCAGACUCCUACGGGAGGCAGCAGUAGGGAAUCUUCCGCAAUGGGCGAAAGCUUGACGGAGCAACGCCGCGUGAGUGAUGAAGGUCUUCGGAUCGUAAAACUCUGUUAUUAGGGAAGAACAAAUGUGUAAGUAACUAUGCACGUCUUGACGGUACCUAAUCAGAGAGCCACGGCUAACUACGUG
This 497-nucleotide ribosomal RNA is filed under the name uncultured bacterium. RNAcentral describes it as "partial 16S ribosomal RNA". It matches the Rfam family "Bacterial small subunit ribosomal RNA", at positions 28 to 507 of the family's 1533-position model. The record is from RNAcentral.